UACGUAGGGUGCAAGCGUUGUCCGGAAUUAUUGGGCGUAAAGAGCUCGUAGGCGGUCUGUCGCGUCUGCUGUGAAAACCCGGGGCUUAACUUCGGGCUUGCGGUUGAUACGGGCGGGCUGGAGUUCGGUAGGGGAGACUGGAAUUCCUGGUGUAGCGGUGAAAUGCGCAGAUAUCAAGAGGAACACCGGUGGCGAAGGCGGGUCUCUGGGCCGAUACUGACGCUGAGGAGCGAAAGCGUGGGGAGCGAACAGG
RNAcentral lists this ribosomal RNA (253 nucleotides) under uncultured bacterium. Its description in RNAcentral is "partial 16S ribosomal RNA". It matches the Rfam family "Bacterial small subunit ribosomal RNA", at positions 524 to 776 of the family's 1533-position model. The record is from RNAcentral.